UACAGAGAGUGCAAGCGUUAAUCAGAAUUACUGGGCGUAAAGCGCACGUAGGUGGAUAUUUAAGUCGGAUGUGAAAUCCCCGGGCUUAACCUGGGAAUUGCACCCGAUACUGGAUAUCUCGAGUAUGGUAGAGGGAAGUGGAAUUUCCGGUGUAGCGGUGAAAUGCGUAGAUAUCGGACAGAACACCAGUGGCGAAGGCGGCUUCCUGGACCAAUACUGACACUGAGGUGCGAAAGCGUGGGGAGCAAACAGG
Molecule: unclassified non-coding RNA, 253 nt
Filed under: uncultured Gammaproteobacteria bacterium
Lineage: Bacteria; Pseudomonadati; Pseudomonadota; Gammaproteobacteria
Description: contains 16S-23S intergenic spacer region
Rfam family: Bacterial small subunit ribosomal RNA
Source: RNAcentral